AGAGAGAACCUGUAGUCUGUGAGCCCAAGUUGUCUGGGUACAAGACUGACCCCCUUCAGAGCUGGAGAGAAGACAUCCCAGCAAGUGGACAGGGGCCAUGGAGAGGAACCUGGGAGCUGUGCUGGGGAUUCUGUGGGUGCAGAUUUGCUGGGUGAGAGGAGAUAAUGUCCAGCAGAGUCCUUCAGCCCUGAGUCUCCACGAGGGAAACAAUUCUGUUCUGAGAUGCGAUUUUUCUAAUGCCUUGACAUCAGUGCAGUGGUUCCGACAGGAUCCCCGGGGCAGUCUCAUCCAUCUGUUCUACCUGGCUUCAGGAACAAAGGAGAAUGGGAGGUUAAAGUCAACAUUCGAUUCUAAGGAGCGCUACAGCACCCUGCACAUCAGUGGUGCCCAGCUGGAGGACUCAGGCACCUACUUCUGUGCUGCUGAUGCACAGUGCUCCCAGUGAGCCUGCAGCCUGGCCCCAAACUGCAGCUGGCUGUGGAGCUACAACCCCUGCCACAGGCAGACUCAGCAGGAGGCUUUGCACAGCUGUGGCUUCAUCAGAUCUCCACAAAUUAAAAGAUGUGAGGAAACAUAAAAAUACCACUGUAGUUCCCACUUACAUUCUGACUGACAUGACACUGACUUCUAGAAUGCUAAAUGCUGAGAAAUAUCAGCAUGCAUGAUCAAAAUAUGCCCCUUUAUUUUUUCAGUUUAUGUUAAUGUCAUAGAAUAUAAACCUCUCUUACAUAUUGGAGAAUCAUUUGGGUCAUUUGUUAAAAUUCGAAACUGAAAGCAACUGUUUUCAUCCUUUGUUUAAAGAGCACAAGACAACACUGAGCUAAUCUGCUCAAUAUGACGUUGAUAAAUUAAUUAAUUCAUCUAAUAAAUUAACUGGUAGAAAGGCAAGAGAAAUCUUAUUAUUAGAUCAAGACAUUAUAGAAAUGUCUUGAUAUUUUAAAUAUAUAAUACAUUUAAUUCUGCAGUGGAAAACAAAUAUUUCAUGUCAUAAUUAGGAGCCAAAAGAUAAAAUAAAACUAGGAAGAUGUAUUUGCAAUUUAUGUCACAAUAACACUUGUAGCCAUUGAUUCUACCUUAUAUGCAAAACUUUUCAUUAAAACACUGCUUUCAAAAGAAAAGAGUGUGGAAACAUUCUAAAUAUCAUACAGUAGGGGACUGAUUUAUUAUACAAUAAUUAAAUGUGAACUAGAUAACUCGUUUAUUUUCUGAGGGUUGACUGAUUAUAUACCAUAGUUGAAAACUCUGGCCUGUCCUUGUCUCUGUAGGGAACUGGGAGUCAUCCAUGCAUCAUCUCUCCAUUGUCUUCCCUCAGGAACAGCGGCUGUGUGACUACAACAGCAACUGGAUGGCCUUUCAUUUUCUUUCUAGAGCUUCACAGAUUAACUGAAACCUUGUGAUUCAUUCGGCUUCAUCCCCAUUGUAACUCCACUUCCUUAAAAUAUAUAUUAUCUGGGCUUCUCAGACAAUAAAUAAUCCCUAAGGGUCAAUAAGAUUUGUGUGGGACUGUUAAAAAGUUAUGUCAACAUUCACAUAAGGAUCCAGUCACCUCAGAGAGGUCAAAGAUAGCAGCCAUCCUAACCCUUGCUUCUUCAUUUCAAUUUGUUUAUUUUUGUUUGUUUUUAUUUUGCUUUUGGCCGGGGCGGGGGGAGGGGGGAGGCUACAAGGGAGGAAGAUGGAUACGAAGUGCCCUGGAUAUGAAUGGAAUUGGUUUACAUGAUGUGAAAUGUAGAGAAUGAAUAAUAAUAAUAAAACUCAGAAACAAAAACUAAACUGAAAAAUGGAUUUAAUGAAGAUGCCCGAGGUGAUAAGAGUUAGAGUUAUGCUGUCCAAAAAACAACAACAACAACAACAACAACAACAACAAAAACAAAAACAAAAACAAAAAACAAAAAAACAAAAAGAAAAACCAAACUCAUUCAGAUUUCCAUUGCAGACUUUUCAUAGGUGACUUUUUAGUGCAGGUGACUACUUAUGAGUGAAACCUGCUAUUACAGAGAAAGAGGAAAACAUCUGCUAAGUGUAAACACACAAGCUCACCUAUCCCCCGCACCCCCACCCCGUCCUAACUUUCAUGAGUCCACAAGAUGGCAGUGUUUUCUUUGGGAUCUUGAGCAAAGAUCUCAAG
Molecule: non-coding RNA, 2125 nt
Organism: Rattus norvegicus (Norway rat)
Lineage: Eukaryota; Metazoa; Chordata; Mammalia; Rodentia; Muridae
Source: the annotation of a RefSeq genome assembly